AUCACCCCCAGUAAAGAUGGAGAGAAUAAGGGUGGGAGGAUUGGGAGAACAGCUGUGUGCUAUAGCACAUUGACCUUGAAGGUCAGUAUCAGGUUAACAAGGCCUUUAGAUUCACAUUUCUGGCCCUUUCCAUGUGAAGGGCACAUCUGAAGCUGGCUGCAGUCACUGGAAGGUGCUGAUGUGACCAUGGAGCAGUGCUGUGUAACCACACCACCCAAAAAGCACGGAGUGGAAAAAUGUCACUCACAUCGCAGAGAUGGAGAAGCAACAGAAUUCCUGAGUCUGGGGAGGAGAGCUACAAACCGGAUAGACUUUGCUGGGGUGGCUGUGAGGACGUCGCUGGUGGAUCGCCUCGUGGUAAAGCACAGCCACUCAGAUGAAGAAAAGCAUGAACUGUAAACAAAGGACUGCAAGAAAUGAAUGCGCUGUGCUACAGAGGGACGUCCAGGAACGCAUUAUUCAUUGGGAGUCUGCUGUCUGCACGAUCCAGAGCCUGAAAAUUAAUUCCAUAUAGAACGAUCUGGAUUGUAGGAAGAAGGAAGAGGAGG
This 548-nucleotide long non-coding RNA is filed under the name Gallus gallus (chicken). Its description in RNAcentral is "lncRNA (ENSGALG00010026838.1)". Lineage: Eukaryota; Metazoa; Chordata; Aves; Galliformes; Phasianidae. The record is from RNAcentral.